GUGGUUGUAGCUCAGUGGUAGAGUGUUUGCCUCAAAUAUGUGAGACACUGAGCUCGAUCCUCAGCACCACA
This 71-nucleotide transfer RNA is filed under the name Marmota marmota marmota (Alpine marmot). It matches the Rfam family "tRNA". Rfam says of the family: Transfer RNA (tRNA) molecules are approximately 80 nucleotides in length. Their secondary structure includes four short double-helical elements and three loops (D, anti-codon, and T loops). Lineage: Eukaryota; Metazoa; Chordata; Mammalia; Rodentia; Sciuridae. The record is from Rfam by way of RNAcentral. RNAcentral also lists the same sequence under 2 other names.